CAGGCUGCGGAAAAUGCAGGAUAAGAGAGAGAGAGAGAGAAAGUGAUUGUUGGGGGGAGUUCUUUUUAAUUUGCAUUUCAGGGCUGUACCUAAGAUCAUAAAUAUACAGAAGUUAGCACCUACCUAUCAUCCCUCAGCUAUCUUAUUUCCAGAGCAUUACGAUACGAAAACAAUGGGAUUAGGGCACUAUAUGCUUCAAUCCCUAUCACCCCCGAUCCCCAAACUUAAUCUUAGAAAAUGCCUGUCUGUGCUAGAGAAAUGGAUUGCACGUAACAUGACAACCGUCUUUUAUAGAGGCAAACCAGACUCACUGGGCUCUAAUGCUGUAAAGGAAAAAGCUUAACAGGUAUAAUUAACCUGUGGAAUGCCCUACCACAAGAUAUUCUUGAAGUACUGGCACUAAUACCGUCUGUCUUCAUAACUCAGGGCAUCAGCGGCCUACUAGCUGAGAGCAAGAAGCAAUCUACUGUGUCCCUGCAUGACGUGACUCCGCUGAAUGAAUUAAGAGGUCGCGGUGACUUUUGGAGCAAUGGUCAACUGCUGGAGUUGGAGGAGGUUUGGGUUUCUGUGGGAAAACGUGCAGUUAUUUGCAGAAAUGAGCAAGAGGGAGCAGCACAGGAUCUGCCACGAGGAUCUCCCAGGCUGCUGGUCUGCGUGAGGAGGAGAGGAAGGCCUGCACACACGAGGAAGGCUGUGAAGGAGAAAGACUGGGAUGCCCAACAAAGGAAAUUUCAGCUGCAAAGAGUUCCAUCAGGCACGCUAGAACUUGUGAUGAUUUGGGGCUCAAUAACACCUACAGAACAGGUACGUUCAUUACAAAGACCAAGUUGA
RNAcentral lists this long non-coding RNA (831 nucleotides) under Anser brachyrhynchus (Pink-footed goose). RNAcentral describes it as "lncRNA (ENSABRG00000021575.1)". Lineage: Eukaryota; Metazoa; Chordata; Aves; Anseriformes; Anatidae. The record is from RNAcentral.